This 484-nucleotide ribosomal RNA is filed under the name uncultured bacterium. Its description in RNAcentral is "partial 16S ribosomal RNA". It matches the Rfam family "Bacterial small subunit ribosomal RNA", at positions 28 to 523 of the family's 1533-position model. The record is from RNAcentral.
GACGAACGCUGGCGGCGUGCUUAACACAUGCAAGUCGAACGAUGAAGCCGGAGCUUGCUCUGGUGAAUUAGUGGCGAACGGGUGAGUAACACGUGAGUAACCUGCCCUUGACUCUGGGAUAACUGCUAGAAAUGGUAGCUAAUACCGGAUACGACCCUCGGAGGCAUCUCCAGGGGGUGGAAAGAAUUUCGGUCAAGGAUGGACUCGCGGCCUAUCAGCUAGUUGGUGAGGUAACGGCUCACCAAGGCGACGACGGGUAGACGGCCUGAGAGGGUGACCGGCCACACUGGGACUGAGACACGGCCCAGACUCCUACGGGAGGCAGCAGUGGGGAAUAUUGCACAAUGGGCGCAAGCCUGAUGCAGCAACGCCGCGUGAGGGAUGACGGCCUUCGGGUUGUAAACCUCUUUUAGAAGGGAAGAAGCGAAAGUGACGGUACCUGCAGAAAAAGCACCGGCUAACUACGUGCCAGCCGCCGCGGUAA